Molecule: long non-coding RNA, 453 nt
Filed under: Selaginella moellendorffii
Lineage: Eukaryota; Viridiplantae; Streptophyta; Lycopodiopsida; Selaginellales; Selaginellaceae
Description: long non-coding RNA (SMOE_LNC000886)
Source: RNAcentral
UUCCUUCUCUUGAUCGCUGAAAGUUUCUGUUUUUUUUUCUUGUUCUCUUGCUCUUAGACGAACAAAUUCACAGAUUUGAAAGCAUGUUUCCUUCUGUCAAGUUUUUCUCCACUGCCGGCUUUCAUUUUCCUAAGCUCGGUUUUCAUGAGUCUUCGAUUUCUUCGUAUGCCGAGUCUUUUCCGCUACUAAAACUUUUGGUUGAUCGCUGAAAGUUCCGUUUUUUUCUUGUUCUCUUGCUCUUAGACAACCAAAUUCAUGAAUUUGAGAGCAUGUUAAUGUGAAAGCAUUUUUGCUUCUCAUACCAUGUCAAGUUCUUUCGUCUUUCAUUUUCUGAAGCUUUCAUGACAUUUUUGAGUCUUCGGUUUCUUCGGAGUCUUUUCCGCUACUAAAGCUUCUUCCAGCGUUUUGUUUCUAACCAGCGCCGUGCUCGUUUACAGAGUAGCUAUGGCGAGC